This 272-nucleotide long non-coding RNA is filed under the name Lathyrus oleraceus (garden pea). RNAcentral describes it as "Pisum sativum (pea) long non-coding RNA (PSAT_LNC008785)". Lineage: Eukaryota; Viridiplantae; Streptophyta; Magnoliopsida; Fabales; Fabaceae. The record is from RNAcentral.
AUAAUUCAAAACAGAACAUGAAAAUUGGUAAGAAUCAAGAUUAAUCCAAUAAGAACAAAAUCCAAGUGGUCUCAUAUCAACAGCAUCAACCAAUUUCAUUUCAUAAAGCAUUUAGUGCAAAGCAUGAAAUUUGAAGCUCAUAGAAGCAAACAGAAUGAUUCAAUCCACAUCAACUCAAAAACAAUUCAAUAAAUCCCAAGAAAAAUCAUGGCUAAACAGCAUCCAUCACAUGGUCAUCAUACCAAAAUUCAAGUCAUUUGGAUAAGUGGAAG